This 483-nucleotide ribosomal RNA is filed under the name uncultured bacterium. Its description in RNAcentral is "bacterial SSU rRNA". It matches the Rfam family "Bacterial small subunit ribosomal RNA", at positions 30 to 507 of the family's 1533-position model. The record is from RNAcentral.
UUGAACGCUGGCGGCAUGCCUUACACAUGCAAGUCGAACGGCAGCACGGGAGCAAUCCUGGUGGCGAGUGGCGAACGGGUGAGUAAUAUAUCAGAACGUGCCCAGUCGUGGGGGAUAACGUAGCGAAAGCUACGCUAAUACCGCAUACGAUCUAUGGAUGAAAGCGGGGGAUCGCAAGACCUCGCGCGAUUGGAGCGGCCGAUAUCAGAUUAGGUAGUUGGUGAGGUAAAGGCUCACCAAGCCGACGAUCUGUAGCUGGUCUGAGAGGACGACCAGCCACACUGGGACUGAGACACGGCCCAGACUCCUACGGGAGGCAGCAGUGGGGAAUUUUGGACAAUGGGCGCAAGCCUGAUCCAGCAAUGCCGCGUGCAGGAUGAAGGCCUUCGGGUUGUAAACUGCUUUUGUACGGAACGAAACGGUGAGCUCUAAUACAGUUUGCUAAUGACGGUACCGUAAGAAUAAGCACCGGCUAACUACGUG